GCAUGCGCGGUGACGUCAUGUCAUAACGUUUAGUGGAUUACCUCUCUCUCUCACACACACACACACACACACACACAGGGACUCUCACAAAUGGCGUCAUAAACACCGGUUUGCUUCCUACCACUCCACCGAUACCCAAUGACAGCUACUCGCGUGCAUCCGUGGCGCGUGGCUUCGACCUAGAGAAGCUGAGAGUCUGAGUGAGAGCUGUCAGCUGGUCUCUCCUCCCUCAGGGCUCCAUGUACCCUGAACCCAACACGGAUUCCCCUGCUCGUCUCUCCACACGGCAGACUGGAUCCCCCUAUACGUGAGCAGAACCUUCACACUCAAAGAGA
Molecule: long non-coding RNA, 335 nt
Filed under: Sinocyclocheilus anshuiensis
Lineage: Eukaryota; Metazoa; Chordata; Actinopteri; Cypriniformes; Cyprinidae
Description: lncRNA (ENSSANG00000021789.1)
Source: RNAcentral